CACUCAGCCACGCGGCCCAGCUGACUCCCGCUCGUCCUUCACGUUGUGGCUGAAAUUUCAGAUCCUGCAGGGUGCGGUUUCUGGACCCGCAGGCUCUGGUGCCCCUGCCCGCACUUCUGUGAAGCACUGAACACUUCUAUCACUCACCCUUGGGAAAGCCGACUGCCGUGUCCUGAGGCAACCUUGCUGAGAGGUCCAUGUGGCAAAGGACUGAGGCCUGCCAAAAACCACAUGAAUGAACUUAAAAGAAGAUUCCCACCUUACUCCAGGUCAGGCAUUCAGAUGAGAUCACAGCCUCAGCCAAUAGCUUGACGCAGCCUCAUGAGAGACUUUGAGCCAGAGUUGCCUAGGAGCUGGUGAGCCUGGAAGCUUAUUUAGGAAGAGGAAAUGAAACUGAAAAGACACAGUAAGAUUCCUCUUUUUCUUGGAAGCAAGGCACGAUAUGAAUAAUUCUCAUGCUGUCCAAUUAACUGCCUCAAGUACAAAUAGAAAAAAAAAUACACACUUGGUUAUUUGGAAGAAAUUGAAGAAAAAGCGAAGA
This is a long non-coding RNA of Lagenorhynchus albirostris (white-beaked dolphin), 541 nucleotides long. RefSeq lists it as uncharacterized. The record is from RefSeq and is a predicted model, not a curated record. The transcript has 3 exons. NCBI's taxonomy places the organism in Eukaryota, Metazoa, Chordata, Mammalia, Artiodactyla, Delphinidae.